Molecule: microRNA precursor, 154 nt
Filed under: Oryza brachyantha (malo sina)
Lineage: Eukaryota; Viridiplantae; Streptophyta; Magnoliopsida; Poales; Poaceae
Description: MIR812 microRNA precursor family
Rfam family: MIR812 microRNA precursor family
Source: Rfam by way of RNAcentral
UUUAACUUUUCGUCUUAUUUAAAACUUUUUUAUUAAUAUUUUUAUUCUUAGUAGAUGAUAAAACAUGAAUAUUAUUUUAUGUGUAACUAAUUUUUUUUAAGUUUCUAUACAAAUUUUUCAAAUAAGACGAAGAAUCAAACGUUAGAUACGAAAA